UGGGGAAUAUUGCACAAUGGGCGCAAGCCUGAUGCAGCAACGCCGCGCGAGGGACGACGGCCUUCGGGUUGUAAACCUCUUUUAGUAGGGAAGAAGCGAAAGUGACGGUAUCUGCAGAAAAAGCACCGGCUAACUACGUGCCAGCAGCCGCGGUAAUACGUAGGGUGCGAGCGUUGUCCGGAAUUAUUGGGCGUAAAGAGCUCGUAGGCGGUCUGUCGCGUCUGCUGUGAAAACCCGAGGCUCAACCUCGGGCCUGCAGUGGGUACGGGCAGACUAGAGUGCGGUAGGGGAGAAUGGAAUUCCUGGUGUAGCGGUGGAAUGCGCAGAUAUCAGGAGGAACACCGAUGGCGAAGGCAGUUCUCUGGGCCGUAACUGACGCUGAGGAGCGAAAGCGUGGGGAGCGAACAGGAUUAGAUACCCUGGUAGUCCAC
This 431-nucleotide ribosomal RNA is filed under the name uncultured bacterium. RNAcentral describes it as "partial 16S ribosomal RNA". It matches the Rfam family "Bacterial small subunit ribosomal RNA", at positions 355 to 798 of the family's 1533-position model. The record is from RNAcentral.